Molecule: ribosomal RNA, 523 nt
Filed under: uncultured bacterium
Lineage: Bacteria
Description: partial 16S ribosomal RNA
Rfam family: Bacterial small subunit ribosomal RNA
Source: RNAcentral
GACGAGCGCUGGCGGCGUGCUUAACACAUGCAAGUCGAACGGACAGACAGAGAGCUUGCUCCCUUGAAGUUAGUGGCGAACGGGAGAGUAACGCGUAAUCAACCUGCCCUUCAGAGGGGGAUAACAACGGGAAACCGUUGCUAAUACCGCGUACGAUUCAUGACCGGCAUCGUUUAUGAAUGAAAGGUGGCCUCAAUGUAUAAGCUAUCGCUGACGGUGGGGAUUGCGUCUGAUUAGCGAGUUGUAGGGGUAACGGCCCACCAAGGCAAUGAUAAGUAGCCGGUCUGAGAGGAUGACCGGCCACAUUGGGACUGAGACACGGCCCAAACUCCUACGGGAGGCAGCAGUGGGGAAUUUUGGACAAUGGGCGAAAGCCUGAUCCAGCCAUUCCUCGUGCAGGAUGAAUGCCCUCGGGUUGUAAACUGCUUUUGUACAGAACGAAAAGGUUUCUACUAAUACUAGGAGCUCAUGACGGUACUGUAAGAAUAAGCACCGGCUAACUACGUGCCAGCCGCCGCCGUAA